UCUUCCAGUGAUAAGUUCUAGAAGCACCACGCCGAAAGAAUAGACAUCUGAGUUACUAGAUACCCUUCUGGAAUACUCUGGAUCUAUAUAAACUUCAGUUCCUGCAAUGGAUCUGGAGAUAUGAGUGAUAGUAUUCGGAAAAAAUAAGGCAAGUCCAAAAUCAGCAAUCUUUGGUUCAAAAUUGAUAUUAAGAAGAAUGUUAUCUGGCUUGAUAUCUCGGUGAAUAAUCCUAGGAGACGAGUGCUCAUGUAGAUAUUCCAAUCCUUUUGCAGAGCCUCUGGCAAUUUUCAUUCUUGUUGGCCAAUCCAAAAUCUCCUUUCCUCCUCCAUGUAAAUGAAAUCUCAAGGAUUUAUUGAGACAAUACUCUAAAACAAGCAAUGCAUUGGCUCCUUCAAUGCAGUAGCCAAGCAACUUAACAAGAUUACAAUGACGAACACUGUUAAUGACUGCAAUCUCAUGGACCAAUUCUUCUCUGGUCUGUUCCUCGAAAUAGCGAAGUUUCUUAAUAGCAAGGAUUUCACCAUGUAGGGCACCCUUAUAUACUUGACUAAAACCACCUUCGCCAAGGAGGUACUUGUUGGAGAAAUAACCAGUUGCUUUUGAUAGUUGUUCAUAAC
Molecule: unclassified non-coding RNA, 617 nt
Filed under: Hevea brasiliensis (rubber tree)
Lineage: Eukaryota; Viridiplantae; Streptophyta; Magnoliopsida; Malpighiales; Euphorbiaceae
Source: RNAcentral